Pyrus x bretschneideri (Chinese white pear) is the source of this 269-nucleotide long non-coding RNA. RefSeq lists it as uncharacterized. The transcript is spliced from 3 exons. The record is from RefSeq and is a predicted model, not a curated record. Lineage: Eukaryota; Viridiplantae; Streptophyta; Magnoliopsida; Rosales; Rosaceae.
AGGAUUUUGGACUCUUAAUAGGUGAGGCGUACUCCGAGGACGAGCGUGGACAAGCGAGGUUAGGAGGCUACGAUUCUGCUACUUAUUAGUUCUAAGUAGCUGUUCAUCUUUGGUGGCUCACAAGGACUACACGGCGGUUCUGAUGUUUCCAUAAAUAAAAGUAGGGUCCUUCUACCUGUUUGUAUAAUUAGUACUAAGUUAGUUCAACUGCACUAUCGUUUUACCUAUGCUCUGAUAUGUGUGUAUCUUUUACUUGAUCACUUUUACAC